CCUAGGCUUAGUGGUGCAAGCCUGUAAUCCCAGUGGCUUGGGAGGUUGAGGCAGGAGGAUCCUGAGUUCAAACCAGUCUCAGCAAUAGUGAGGCACUAAGCAACUCAGUGAGACCCUGUCUCUA
RNAcentral lists this small RNA (124 nucleotides) under Marmota monax (woodchuck). The record is from RNAcentral. Lineage: Eukaryota; Metazoa; Chordata; Mammalia; Rodentia; Sciuridae.